This is a non-coding RNA of Vicia faba (fava bean), 339 nucleotides long. NCBI's taxonomy places the organism in Eukaryota, Viridiplantae, Streptophyta, Magnoliopsida, Fabales, Fabaceae. The record is from the annotation of a GenBank genome assembly.
AUGGCAAGACUGAGCUCCUGUCUCUUUACUUUGCUCCUGCUGCUUUCAUUCUCCAUGUGCGAGACUCGGCCGUUGAGGAUUCAUCCAUUUUCUUUUCAUUUCCAUGCUAGCUCUGACAUCUUUGGUACAGUCAAGCACUACCUUUAUUCAGGAUCAAAAGCCAGAAGCCUGCCAAAGAUAGAUAAAACAUCGAACACAAGUGCUAAGGUCUCUUUUAGCAUUGGCUUCAGAAAGAGCAAUGCAACAAGAAACAAGUACUUUAAACCCCUUCGAGUCAGCCCAGGAGGCCCAGAUGCACACCAUCACUUCAAAGUAACUGGAGGACAUGGGAGGAGAUAG